Molecule: ribosomal RNA, 661 nt
Filed under: uncultured bacterium
Lineage: Bacteria
Description: bacterial SSU rRNA
Rfam family: Bacterial small subunit ribosomal RNA
Source: RNAcentral
UAACGCCGCGGGGCUGCAUGGCCCCGCGGCCAAAGGAAGCGAUUCCGGCGGGGGAUGGGCAUGCGGCGCAUUAGCUAGUCGGCGGGGUAACGGCCCACCGAGGCGACGAUGCGUAGGGGUUCUGAGAGGAAGGUCCCCCACACUGGUACUGAGACACGGACCAGACUCCUACGGGAGGCAGCAGUGAGGAAUAUUGGUCAAUGGGCGGGAGCUUGAACCAGCCAAGUCGCGUGAGGGAAGACGGUCCUACGGAUUGUAAACCUCUUUUGCCGGGGAGCAACGGGGUCCUUGCGAGGGUCUGAUGAGAGUACCCGGAGAAAAAGCAUCGGCUAACUCCGUGCCAGCAGCCGCGGUAAUACGGAGGAUGCGAGCGUUAUCCGGAUUUAUUGGGUUUAAAGGGUGCGUAGGCGGGCUGUUAAGUCAGCGGUCAAAUGUCGGGGCUCAACCCCGGCCUGCCGUUGAAACUGGCGGCCUCGAGUGGGCGAGAAGUAUGCGGAAUGCGUGGUGUAGCGGUGAAAUGCAUAGAUAUCACGCAGAACUCCGAUUGCGAAGGCAGCAUACCGGCGCCCGACUGACGCUGAGGCACGAAAGCGUGGGUAUCGAACAGGAUUAGAUACCCUGGUAGUCCACGCAGUAAACGAUGAAUGCUAGCUGUCCGGGG